AGAAGAUGGUAAGGGCAAACGGUGGAUGCCUUGGCACAAGAAGCCGAUGAAGGACGUGAUAAGCUGCGAUAAGCCACGGUAAGGAGCACAUAUCCUGUGACCCGUGGAUUUCCGAAUGGGUAAACCCACCAAGAGUCAUUUCUUGGUACUUCCUGCUGAAUAUAUAGGCAGGAUAGAGGUAACCGGGGGAACUGAAACAUCUAAGUACCCCGAGGAAGAGAAAUCAAACGAGAUUCCCCUAGUAGUGGCGAGCGAACGGGGAUAUAGGACAAACCGUCAGUUGCGCAAGCGCUGACGGGGUUGUAGGACCAUUCAUUGUGGAGUUACAAAACUUCGUGGAAGCAGAACAGUUUGGAAAAAUUGGCGAGACAGGGUAAAAGCCCCGUACGCGAAUCUGCGGAGACUCCCGAGUGGCACCUGAGUACUGCCGGACACGUGAAACCCGGUGGGAACCUGGGGGGUCCACCCUCCAAUCCUAAAUACUCUCUUGUGACCGAUAGUGAACCAGUACCGUGAGGGAAAGGUGAAAAGCACCCCUAGCGGGGAGUGAAAUAGUACCUGAAACCGUUUGCCUACAAGCAGUCGGAGCAGACUUUUGUCUGUGACGGCGUGCCUUUUGUAGAAUGAGCCAGCGAGUUACGGCAUGUGGCAAGGUUAAGCUAAAAAGCGAGCCGCAGCGAAAGCGAGUCUGAAUAGGGCGAGUGAGUCGCAUGUCGUAGACGCGAAGCCAGGUGAGCUAUCCAUGAGCAGGCUGAAGCGGGGGUAAGACCCCGUGGAGGGCCGAACCCACUUAGGUUGAAAACUGAGGGGAUGACUUGUGGAUAGGAGUGAAAGGCCUAUCAAACCUGGAGAUAUCUCGUUCUCUCCGAAAUAGCUUUAGGGCUAGCCUCGGAUGUUUACCAAUGGGGGUAGAGCACUGAAUAGUUGCGGGGGCUUCACCGCCUACCAAGAUUAAUCAAACUCCGAAUACCAUUGGUCUAGAAUCCGGGAGUCAGAAUAUGUGGGCUAAGCUGUGUAUUCGAAAGGGAAACAGCCCAGACCGCCCGCUAAGGUCCCAAAAUCAAUGCUAAGUGGCAAAGGAUGUGCGUUUGCUCAGACAACCAGGAUGUUGGCUUAGAAGCAGCCAUUCAUUUAAAGAGUGCGUAAUAGCUCACUGGUCGAGUGGACAUGCGCCGACAAUAUACGGGGCUAAGCAUUGUACCGAAGCGGCGGAUCAGUACUUUGUACUGGUGGUAGGAGAGCUUUCUGUACGGGUUGAAGCAGUUGGAUAACCAACUGUGGACUGUCCAGAAGUGAGAAUGCUGGCAUGAGUAACGAGAGACAUGUAAAAAACAUGUCCGCCGUAAACCCAAGGUUUCCUGGGCAAGGCUAAUCCUCCCAGGGUUAGGCGGGAGCUAAGGCAAGGCCGGAAGGCGUAGUCGAUGCACAACAGGUAGAAAUUCCUGUCCCUCCAAAAGAGCGUUAUCACCAAUGGGGUGACGGAGAAGGGUAGCUAGGCGGGGUUCUGGACGUCCCCGUGAUGACACGUAGGCUGAGAAGUAGUGAAAUGCGCUUCUCAUAUGGCUGAGGUGUUGGACGAAGCAAUUGAGUGAAGCUAGUAAGCCCAUACUUCCAAGAAAAACCUCUAGGGAGCUCUGAGGAGCCCGUACCGCAAACCGACACAGGUGGGUGGGUAGAGCAUACCAAGGCGAUCGGGAGAACUAUGGUUAAGGAACUCGGCAAAAUUGCCCCGUAACUUCGGGAGAAGGGGUGCCGGUUUCGGUGAAGGGAUUUACUCCCCGAGCUAAGAUCGGUCACAGUAAAUAGGUCCAAGCGACUGUUUAUCAAAAACACAGGACUCUGCUGAAGUCGUAAGACGACGUAUAGGGUCUGACGCCUGCCCGGUGCCGGAAGGUCACGAGGAGUUGUUAGCAUUAGCGAAGCAGCGAAUCUAAGCCCCGGUAAACGGCGGCCGUAACUAUAACGGUCCUAAGGUAGCGAAAUUCCUUGUCGGGU
This 1995-nucleotide ribosomal RNA is filed under the name human oral metagenome. RNAcentral describes it as "bacterial LSU rRNA". It matches the Rfam family "Bacterial large subunit ribosomal RNA", at positions 1 to 1977 of the family's 2925-position model. The record is from RNAcentral.